ACGGGUGCGUAACACGUGGGUAACCUGCCCUCCAAAGGGGGAUAACCCGCCGAAAGGCGGGCUAAUACCGCAUGAUAUUCCGGUGGCCUCGGCCGCCGGAAUCAAAGCUCGAAAGGGCGUUGGAGGAGGGGCCCGCGGCCGAUUAGCUUGUUGGCGAGGUAACGGCUCACCAAGGCUUUGAUCGGUAGCCGGUCUGAGAGGAUGGCCGGCCACACUGGAACUGAGACACGGUCCAGACUCCUACGGGAGGCAGCAGUGGGGAAUCUUGCGCAAUGGGCGAAAGCCUGACGCAGCGACGCCGCGUGGGGGAUGAAGCUUCUCGGAGUGUAAACCCCUUUCGACCCGGACGAAACGCCCGCAAGGGCUUGACGGUACGGGUAUAAGAAGCCCCGGCUAACUACGUGCCAGCAGCCGCGGUAAGACGUAGGGGGCCAGCGUUGCUCGGAAUUACUGGGCGUAAAGGGUUCGUAGGCGGUGCGGUAAGUCGGAAGUGAAAUCUCUGGGCUUAACUCAGAGGCUGCUUUCGAAACUGCCGUGCUCGAGUGCGGGAGAGGCGAGUGGAAUUGCAGGUGUAGCGGUGAAAUGCGUAGAUAUCUGCAGGAACACCCGUGGCGAAGGCGGCUCGCUGGACCGCAACUGACGCUGAGGAACGAAAGCUAG
Molecule: ribosomal RNA, 660 nt
Filed under: uncultured Bacillota bacterium
Lineage: Bacteria; Bacillati; Bacillota
Description: bacterial SSU rRNA
Rfam family: Bacterial small subunit ribosomal RNA
Source: RNAcentral